RNAcentral lists this long non-coding RNA (1007 nucleotides) under Capsicum annuum. Its description in RNAcentral is "long non-coding RNA (CANN_LNC021325)". The record is from RNAcentral. Lineage: Eukaryota; Viridiplantae; Streptophyta; Magnoliopsida; Solanales; Solanaceae.
CCUACCCAAGCCUACGGUUUGCCUACCCGCUCGACGACGUAUCACAUUCAACAUCAACAAUGAAUCAAAAUACCAUAAUAUUCAUUUUUAUCAAUUUUCGAUUCCCAUUCUCCAAAUUCAUUCUCAACAUGAUUAAACCAAUUCUUCGACUAUCAAAUUCAAUAUCAACCACGCACACACAACAAAGAUUCAAGCAUGCUAAACAAACAAGUUAUUCACACCCAUAACAAACAACCAAAAUUCCAAAAUAGAAUAGAGAAUGAGUUGAGAAAUGGACCUCAAUGCUUUUUAAUUGAAAUUUCUCUUUCCAAUUAGAACCGCGUCCAAAAUCUCGGACCCAACCUCAACGACGAACAAACCAACUCGAAUAACCUUUUUUUUUUUCUAUUUUUUCAUCGACCCAAAUUGGAAAACUACACAACGAAGACAAACCCGUACCAAUUUCGCAUCCCCAGCUACCGUGUCAAUAGAUUUACGGCGAAAUUUGCUGGAAUCGGGACUGGUUGGGGCGACCUUUCUUCGUCGGAGCUUCGAUAAGCUCGAUCGGCUAUAGGCGUGGCUGGUUUCAAUGAUUUACAAGGGUCCCGACAUUAUUUCGAUGGGAAUUCGCCGGAACCAAUCGUGAGGGGUCAAUUUUUUGUUAGAAACAGGGGUUAAAAGAAUGACACAGGAGUCGGUUCAACGGAACAGUAAACUCCGGUGAUGUUGCUCUAUUUUUCUCCUCACUGUUCUCUCUCUCGAUCUGUCACGUUCUCCGAUCAACCUCUGCCUGCCUUUUUCGAUCACCGAUCUCCCUCAUUUCUCGAUCUCUCGAUCUCUCUCUCUCACCGGUGUUAUUACUGUGUGCGUGUCUAUAUGGUGUAUUCUGUGUAAGUUUCUAUGAGUAGAAAAUGAAAGAUAAUGGGGAAUCCAUGGGUGGUGUGUGUAUAUUCCUAGUGUGUGCAGGUGUGCGAUUUAUGAGUUAAUGGGUCAAAAAAAAUGGAGUGUCUAUGUAGUGUGUGUAUCCG